Molecule: ribosomal RNA, 468 nt
Filed under: uncultured bacterium
Lineage: Bacteria
Description: partial 16S ribosomal RNA
Rfam family: Bacterial small subunit ribosomal RNA
Source: RNAcentral
GACGAACGCUGGCGGCGGGCUUAACACAUGCAAGUCGAACGGAAAGGCCCGGCUUUUGUGGGGUGCUCGAGUGGCGAACGGAAGAUUAACACGUGAGUAACCUGCCCUUGACUAUGGUAUAACUUCAGGAAACUGGGGCUAAUAGCGGAUAGGAUCUCCUGCUGCAUGUUGGGGGCUGGAAAGUAUCGGCUGUUGGGGAUGGGCUCGCGGCUUAUCAGCUUUUAGGUGCGGUAGUGGCUUACCAAGGCAUUGACGGGUAGCCGGCCUGCGAGGGUGACCGGCCACGUUGCACCUGGGAUACGACCCAGCCUCGUACCGGACGGAGCAGUGGAGUAUAGUGCAUAAGGGGAGGAAGCCUAACGCAGCCACGCCGCGUGCGGGAUGACGGCAAUGGGGUUGGAUAGCGAUUUCGCCUGUGCCGAGGCGUGAGUGACGGUAAUGGGUAAAGAAGCACCGGCUAACUACGUG